RNAcentral lists this ribosomal RNA (497 nucleotides) under uncultured bacterium. RNAcentral describes it as "partial 16S ribosomal RNA". It matches the Rfam family "Bacterial small subunit ribosomal RNA", at positions 28 to 507 of the family's 1533-position model. The record is from RNAcentral.
GAUGAACGCUGGCGGCGUGCCUAAUACAUGCAAGUCGAGCGAACAGACGAGGAGCUUGCUCCUCUGACGUUAGCGGCGGACGGGUGAGUAACACGUGGAUAACCUACCUAUAAGACUGGUAUAACUUCGGGAAACCGGAGCUAAUACCGGAGAAUAUAUUGAACCGCAUGGUUCAAUAGUAAAAGACGGUUUUGCUGUCACUUAUAGAUGGAUCCGCGCCGCAUUAGCUAGUUGGUCAGGUAACGGCUUACCAAGGCAACGAGGCGUAGCCGACCUGAGAGGGUGAUCGGCCACACUGGAACUGGGACACGGUCCAGACUCCUACGGGAGGCAGCAGUAGGGAAUCUGCCGCAAUGGGGGAAAGCCUGACGGAGCAACGCCGCGUGAGUGAUGAAGGUCUUCGGAUCGUAAAACUCUGUUAUUAGGGAAGAACAAAUGUGUAAGUAACUAUGCACGUCUUGACGGUACCUAAUCAGAAAGCCACGGCUAACUACGUG